This 76-nucleotide small RNA is filed under the name Flavobacterium cutihirudinis. RNAcentral describes it as "Flavo-1 RNA". It matches the Rfam family "Flavo-1 RNA". Lineage: Bacteria; Pseudomonadati; Bacteroidota; Flavobacteriia; Flavobacteriales; Flavobacteriaceae. The record is from RNAcentral.
GUCUAGCCCCGAUGGAAGUGGUAUCCUUUUAUGGCGGGGUUCGCCAUAAAAGAUAUAGCGGACAGCGGGACGGGUG